Molecule: ribosomal RNA, 703 nt
Filed under: uncultured bacterium
Lineage: Bacteria
Description: bacterial SSU rRNA
Rfam family: Bacterial small subunit ribosomal RNA
Source: RNAcentral
AGUCGAGGGGCAUCAGGGUGUAGCAAUACACCGCUGGCGACCGGCGCACGGGUGAGUAACACGUAUCCAACCUGCCCUUUACUCGGGGAUAGCCUUUCGAAAGAAAGAUUAAUACCCGAUGGUAUAACAUGACCUCCUGGUUCUGUUAUUAAAGAAUUUCGGUAGAGGAUGGGGAUGCGUUCCAUUAGGCAGUUGGCGGGGUAACGGCCCACCAAACCUUCGAUGGAUAGGGGUUCUGAGAGGAAGGUCCCCCACAUUGGAACUGAGACACGGUCCAAACUCCUACGGGAGGCAGCAGUGAGGAAUAUUGGUCAAUGGGCGAGAGCCUGAACCAGCCAAGUAGCGUGAAGGAUGACCGCCCUAUGGGUUGUAAACUUCUUUUAUAUGGGAAUAAAGGGUGCCACGUGUGGCAUUUUGUAUGUACCAUAUGAAUAAGGAUCGGCUAACUCCGUGCCAGCAGCCGCGGUAAUACGGAGGAUUCGAGCGUUAUCCGGAUUUAUUGGGUUUAAAGGGAGCGUAGGCGGGUUGUUAAGUCAGUUGUGAAAGUUUGCGGCUCAACCGUAAAAUUGCAGUUGAUACUGGCGACCUUGAGUGCAACAGAGGUAGGCGGAAUUCGUGGUGUAGCGGUGAAAUGCUUAGAUAUCACGAAGAACUCCGAUUGCGAAGGCAGCUUACUGGAUUGUAACUGACGCUGAUGCUCGAA